This 647-nucleotide ribosomal RNA is filed under the name Exaiptasia diaphana. RNAcentral's name for it is "partial 12S ribosomal RNA". It matches the Rfam family "Bacterial small subunit ribosomal RNA", at positions 502 to 1377 of the family's 1533-position model. The record is from RNAcentral. Lineage: Eukaryota; Metazoa; Cnidaria; Anthozoa; Actiniaria; Aiptasiidae.
UAAGUGCCAGCUGACGCGGUUAAACUUAAGGGCUGGUCUUUAUAAGUAAAAAGGCGUAGAGGAUGUGUAGGCCAAGAAAUUAUCUAAGAAGGUAAAUGGAAUUUUUCUGGAGCGGUAAAAUGUGAAGAUAGAAAAUAGAACACCUAAGGUUAAAACUAUUUACCACAAAAUAGGCUGAAACAUGAGAGAGUGGGGAGCAAACAGGAUUAGAGACCCUGGUAGUCCACUCUGUAAACUUUGAAGAUUAUGUUUAGCAGGCCCGAAAGGUAAAAUCUUCCGCCUGAGUAGUACGAUCGCAAGAUUAAAAUUCAAAAACUUUGGCUGUUCACUACUUCGAUUAGAGGAGCGUGUAGUUUAAUUCGAUGGUCCGCGUGUUACCUUACCCCAGCUUGAAUCUAUGACCGGUAUUGCAUGGCCGUCGUAAGUCCCUGUGUUAAACUAAAAGGGACCCAAUCCGGGCGUUUGCCUGAAGGAAGUCAGGUCUUAUGAUCCGAAUGUUGGGGGAUUUAUGCGCUACAUUUUCUUAUAUAAUGAGAGACUUGAGAGGUAAGCCUCUAAAGUAAGAGUUCGGAAGGUCGCUGUAAAACGACUGGAAGUUGGAUUUAAUAGUAAUCGGAAAGUAGAGCGUUCCGGUGAAUUGGUACAAG